Molecule: ribosomal RNA, 686 nt
Filed under: Tomentella sp. 7 RT-2012
Lineage: Eukaryota; Fungi; Basidiomycota; Agaricomycetes; Thelephorales; Thelephoraceae
Description: eukaryotic LSU rRNA
Rfam family: 5.8S ribosomal RNA (bases 206-360)
Source: RNAcentral
CAUUACCGAAUUGUCAACACGAGUUGUUGCUGGUNNNCANANGAGGGCAUGUGCACGCUCUGUUUACACAUCCANUCACACCUGUGCACCCUCUGUAGUUCUAUGGUCUGAGGGGCUCUGUCCUCUCGCCGNGGCUCUAUGUCUUUACNCACGCACUGUAAUAAAGUUUCAUGGAAUGCAUGACGCGUUUAACGCAAUACAAUACAACUUUCAGCAACGGAUCUCUUGGCUCUCGCAUCGAUGAAGAACGCAGCGAAAUGCGAUAAGUAAUGUGAAUUGCAGAAUUCAGUGAAUCAUCGAAUCUUUGAACGCACCUUGCGCCCUUUGGCUAUUCCAGAGGGCAUGCCUGUUUGAGUAUCAUGAACACCUCAACUCUCACGGUUUGCCGUGAUGAGCUUGGACUUUGGAGGUCUUGCCGGCCCGUGGUUGGCUCCUCUCAAAUGAAUCAGCUUGCCAGUGUUUGGUGGCAUCCCAGGUGUGAUAACUAUCUACGCUUGUGGCUUUCCACCAGGUAACCUUCAGCGAUGGAGGUUCGCUGGGGCUCACAAAUGUCUCUCCCAAGUGAGGACGGCUUCUUGAAUGUUUGAUCUCAAAUCAGGUAGGGCUACCCGCUGAACUUAAGCAUAUCAAUAAGCGGAGGAAAAGAAACUAACAAGGAUUCCCCUAGUAACUGCGAGUGAAGCGGG